This 223-nucleotide ribosomal RNA is filed under the name uncultured bacterium. RNAcentral's name for it is "partial 16S ribosomal RNA". It matches the Rfam family "Bacterial small subunit ribosomal RNA", at positions 1278 to 1500 of the family's 1533-position model. The record is from RNAcentral.
AAAGCCAAUCUCAGUUCGGAUUGUAGGCUGCAACUCGCCUACAUGAAGUUGGAAUCGCUAGUAAUCGCGCAUCAGAAUGUCGCGGUGAAUACGUUCCCGGGUCUUGUACACACCGCCCGUCACACCACGAGAGUUUACAACACCCGAAGUCAGUGGCCUAACCGCAAGGAGGGAGCUGCCUAAGGUGGGGUAGAUGAUUGGGGUGAAGUCGUAACAAGGUACC